This 86-nucleotide transfer RNA is filed under the name Candidatus Nealsonbacteria bacterium CG_4_8_14_3_um_filter_39_7. RNAcentral describes it as "tRNA-Leu". It matches the Rfam family "tRNA". Rfam says of the family: Transfer RNA (tRNA) molecules are approximately 80 nucleotides in length. Their secondary structure includes four short double-helical elements and three loops (D, anti-codon, and T loops). The record is from RNAcentral. Lineage: Bacteria; Candidatus Nealsoniibacteriota. RNAcentral also lists the same sequence under 2 other names.
GCGCGGGUGUUGUAAUGGUAGCCAAGCUGGCUUGAGGUGCCAGUGUUCGCAAGGACGUGGAGGUUCGAAUCCUCUCCCGCGCACCU